GCAUGGCAGAAUUCUGUGUUACUUUCCCUGUAGUAAAUACAGUCAGACACCAUGCCAAAGGAUUGUUUUCACAUGACUAAGCAAGAUCUGCUUUCAUUCAUGGGCCUGUUUCUGAACGUCAGAGUGAACACAGCA
Nothobranchius furzeri (turquoise killifish) is the source of this 135-nucleotide small nucleolar RNA. Ensembl annotates it as small nucleolar RNA, H/ACA box 15B-1. Its record names the gene SNORA15B-1. The record is from Ensembl. Lineage: Eukaryota; Metazoa; Chordata; Actinopteri; Cyprinodontiformes; Nothobranchiidae.